GUCCGCCAAGGCAUUAGAACCACGUUCGUCUAUUGGCCUCCUUGUUCCGUUACUUGAAUCAGCUGGUUUGUCUUCACAUGUGUUACCAGCUUCCACGUCCUACUAACACAGACCACAUGGAAUUGUUGCUGUUUAUUCUAUCCUUCUGGUAUUUUGAAGAGAAGAUUUAAACCAUUGAGAGAGUUUUGUGUGCCAUUAAUCAAAACAAAAAAGCAAGCAAACAAAUAACAAACAAAAAAACAAAAAAGGUAGUGGGGAGGGAGACAAGAAAAAAAAAAGUACAUGUCUCCCAAAUAAAAUGUAUCAAUUGUUAGCCAAGAGGAAUGUGAAAUGGCCUUCACCUUUGGGUUAUCGUUUUGCAUUUAAAUGCUCAUAACUGUUUUAGAAAGCUCGACGCCCACACCACAGGAACUUGCUCCUCUUUAAUUUUCUCUAAUUUAUGUAGUGAAUAACCAAAUACUCAUAAUGCAAUUAGAAGAUAAUCAGGCUUGUAAUUAUGUUAAUUGCUGGAGACUUGCAUCAAUCCUCUAGCAAAGUGAUAGGAUUUCAGGGGAACUAUUAACAUAGCAAGAGAGUGAGGGGGAGACUGGGAUGGGUGACUCCAGAAAUUGAUGAACAGCUAUGGUUUGUAUCACUGAAUAACACUGAGGACAAUAGAGCCAUACAGGAAAGGCGCCUUCAGGGGGGUACUUAGAAAAUGGUUUUAGGUUCCAAAAAAUCAACCUCUUUUGUUGUUUUCUUUCCCACAAAUAAUCACUCGUGUUCACCUGUUUUAUCACAAGAAGCCUAAUUUAGAGAACAGAUGAAUAGGUGAAAGAGAGAAUGACUUUUUGCCUGUUAGCACUGUCUUCCGCAUUACUCAAAACCUAACAGCACGAAACAAGAUAUGGUUAUUGCCUGUAUUUCUACACUGAAAGUGUCCUUUGCUCAAAUAAUGACGACCAGUGGUCAAGCUGUAACUCUGUUGUAAUCUGUCCUUAGAUGGCUACUCACUUGUUAAAUCUCUGUUGCCAGAAUAUUGAGUUUAUUUCUAAACACAAUCAAUUCCAACGUGAAUUAAAAUUUUCCUAUUUCCUUUAGAGUCAGCUGGAGCUAAGGCAGACAUCCUGGAGCCUCCUUUGGACAAGACUUUUUUGCUUCCCUUAUUAGUACAUCUGAGCAGGCUAUUCUCUCCUUUCUUUCCCCCAUGUGUGCUGGUGUGGUAGGGUAGGUGAAAAAGUUCCGUGGUGUAGUUUAAUGACUACUUAAAAAAAGGUUUAUGCCACCACAUUUCUACCACCUCGUGAGGUUAAAAUUAAAAUUACCUCACAAAGAUAUGUUGGGAAAGGAGAAACCUUGUGCACUGUUAGGGGGGAUAUAAAGCAAUACAGAGUUUCCUUGAAAAAUUAAAAGUAGAACUACUUUAUGAUCCAGCAAUUCCACGUUUGGAUAUAUAUUGGAAGGAGAUGAAAUCACUGUUUUGAAGAGGUAUCUGUCCUUCCGUGUUCAUUGUAUUAUUUUUCCAGCAGCCAAGACAUGGAGACAACCUAAGCUACCCCUAAUGGAUUGAUGGAUAAAGAAAAGUCCCCUCUCAAAGUCAUGGAACAGUGAAGUGUCAAUAGCAGAAGACUAAUCACUGUGGUUGUGGUCAAACUCAUGAGGAAUGGGUGGCUUACAUUCUAACUACAUGUAGAUUUCCCCCACUGCAUCCACAAGUCUUUGCUGUGUACCCGAGUAAGCUCUUCAGAAGGAUUUCAUCACUGGGGAGUUUUCGAUCAAUCUUCUACGAGUGCAAAGAGAUGGUUUCUCUUCCUUGGGAGUGGACAGCUCUUGGGUGACAAGCUUCUUCUAAAAUUGAGAACAGCCAGGAGUCUGUCCAACUUGAUCAUUGAAUUCUGCUGCCUUUUUUGUAGAUUCAACUGCCCCACUUUACAGGCUCUGUUGGAAGCUGUUUUUAUUUAUUUAUUUUUGCGGGGGAGGGUUUCAGGCUUAUCUAU
This is a long non-coding RNA of Mustela erminea (ermine), 1976 nucleotides long. RefSeq lists it as uncharacterized. The record is from RefSeq and is a predicted model, not a curated record. The transcript has 4 exons. Lineage: Eukaryota; Metazoa; Chordata; Mammalia; Carnivora; Mustelidae.